Molecule: long non-coding RNA, 33006 nt
Filed under: Theobroma cacao (cacao)
Lineage: Eukaryota; Viridiplantae; Streptophyta; Magnoliopsida; Malvales; Malvaceae
Description: long non-coding RNA (TCAC_LNC005762)
Source: RNAcentral
GUCCUAUCCCUGUCAAUGCUAGUUGUUUGCCUUCUAAUAUCUUCAGUGCGUAUCAUAUCGCCAAAUUCACUGUCCGUCGUUGUUAUGUAUGAAACUGUCGACCUCCUUGUCGGAUUACCUGUCCUGGUCAUGUUCCUGACAAUUUUUCUACGACUAGUCAUAAGCCUAGUCAUAAGCCGACUUUGGAGGAUGGCUUGGAAAGAAAAUUAAUUUGUGCUUGUGUUAGUGGUUUUGGGUGGCCUAUCUCUCCUGACGAGGCCCAAAGCUUUGUUUUCAGUUUAUAUUGGAGUAUUUUUAGGUUAUCUAUUGGCUGUUCUUCCAAUAUGUUAUAAACAUAUCCUUUAUGAUGGGUAAUUGUUCUGCAUAGGUGUAAUUGUGAUAGUUAAUGAAUAUUUUAUUCUUUAAUUGAACCUUCAUAUUAUUAGAGAUCAUGAAAAAUGAGGCUAGCAAAAGUAUUGAGACCAAUAACUUCAACAAUUAUACUUUAUUUUAAAUUUUAGAGUAAUUUUAUACAUAAUUUGGGCUUGGUAUCGGAGGUUCUUCAAAUAAAGGUUCUUCACUGAACUUAAGGGCAGAGCAUUAGCAUUACUAUCAGACAAAUAAUCUUUGAUCAACAAGAACUAAGAAAAUUACUCCAUAAAUUUUGAUGGAUAAGGAGCUGUGCAGCUGAAUUAAGCAUGAUAAUGAAAUGUAAAAUCCUAAUCCAAAUUCCCAUGCAGAAUUUAAUUGUAAACAUAAUUCUUGAUACAUAUAAUGCCAAAAUGAGAACAAGGUCCUAACAUAGUGAAUCACUCCUAACAAAACUGUUGAAAGAGUUGAAGACAUCGCUUGACAGCCCAGAUGUCUUAGAUAAUCCCAAUCUUGUUUGCCACAUCCAAGGCAUCAAAAUCUGGAUUCAACCUAACAUAUGCCUUCUUAGUUCCAUCAGGCCUGCGUAAGUUUAUAAACAAGUUAACUCAAGAUUCAUAACAAUUAUGUAUAUGUUCAGUUUCAGACAAUUGUCUAAAGCAUGAGUGUAACCACAUAGCGGAUAUGACAAGCACACACAAAUAGAAGUGAAAGAACCCAAAAGCUGUGAUGCAUCAAAUUCCCACCCAGAUUCUAAAUUGAAAAGUUUGAAAUGGUUCACUAGAUUGCAAUACUCCUUCAUUCUUCUCUAGUUAUGAAUAUAUGAAUUUUAUGCAUCUACUUUUACUUAGAAAUUCAGGUAAGAGUGCUCUCUUCUUCAAAUCAUAUAAUUAUAACUUAGAAUUGAAAAAAAAAGAAAUUGUGAAAAAUAAUAUUCUUCAUAAGCUCAAUUCAAAAUUAUCAUUUUUUAUAAUUUUAACUAUUUUUGAUUAAUUUUUUGUAUGACUUAACAAUAAUACUUUUUAAAUAAUUUCAAACAAAUUAAAAUAGUUUCAGUUUUCUCUCUCCCGUCAUCCAGAUAAAAAUUUUAAAAUUAAAUUUCAAUUUCUCUUUCUGCUCAAAUAUAUCUAUUUUGUCAUCUAAUUCAUAAAUAUGACAUCAAGUUAUUUUUUAUUUUAUUUUAUUUUUUUAGACGGUAAAUUUUGAGAUUUAAAAAAAUGAUGAACAGUAAUUUUGUUUUUUACAAGUAACGAUUUUAUUCAAAAAAAAAUAACUAAAAUAUAUUUGAUAAAUUUUAUGGUGAUUCACAGCUUGCCCCGUGCUUAUCCUUUCUCCUUGUUUUUCUCUUCUUUUCAUUCUUUCUUUCAUCUCAAUGCCCGGCCUCUCCUUCUUUAGCUUAAAGUGCUGUUCCAUCACAAGAAGAAAAGAGAUAGAAAAUUUAAAUAUCAUUUAAUAUGUCUUGUCCAUUUCCUUUUUAUCUUCUCUUCGGGUUUCGAACUCUCCAAGACCUCUCUGUUCCUUUUCCUUCUUCAAAUGGACGCCCUUGGCUCUUACUAAAGCCUAUUUCUCAUGUUUUUGUACUUUUUAAUUUCUUUAUUGCAUUGCCACUCAUGUAACCCGAUCACAUCUCAUGUUUUUUUUUACCUAUCUUGUCUUUUCUCUCAUCUUUAUCUUAUUUUACUUCUUUUUUUACUUUUCUUCAUUUCCAUCUGCUAUCUCUCAAUUUUUUUAUUUCUUUAUUUAUUUUUUAUAUUAUUUAUUUAUUUUAUUUCCUUCAAAUAUUAAAAUUUACAUAUACAUCUUCAAACUUUUUUCUCUUAUAUUUUGACUCUUUUGACAUAUUUAAAAAUUCUAAUUUUUUCUAUCUUUUUUUUUUACACAUGUACAACCAGAAUAUCAAAAUUUUAUUUCAACACAUAUCAUCAUAAUAUUAAAAUAUUUACUUACUCGUAUUAACGUAAUUAAAUAAAAUUAUGCGAUACAAUUAUCAUUGUUUUCUCUCCAAAAUUCUUCCUUACUUCUUUUCUCCCAUUUAAAUUAGUCAUAUACCUUUUAUCCGAACUAAUUUUGAUAGUUAAUAAAAUUUUAAUAUUUUAAUAUUAUUUUAUUAAAUAAAAUAUUAUUUUAUUCUAAAAUUUUUCACUUAUCUCCUUUUAUUCCGAAACAUCUUAUUAUAUAUCAAUUCACUUUCAAAUCAUCUUUUAGCUUACUAAUUCGUUCUUAAUAAAAAUAUUAUUAUUUAAUUAUUAUUUACGAGCAUAUAGAAUAUUUCACUCUUGAAUAUUCUUUUUACCUUUUUAUCACUCUUUAACAUAUAAAUUUAUAUUAAUUAACCCUUCAUCUUACCGAGAUAGUUCCCUUAACUAUUAUACAAAAAUACGGGAUGUUACAAACCAUUUCUAAGGCCAAUUGUUUUAUAAACGGAACUAUUCUCCUCUUUCCUUCUCACUCUUGUUUACUUUAUUUUCUCUUUCUACUCUAUAUCUGCUAUAAAUAGACUAACCAUUUCAGUUAUUUUCUAAAGAUUAUUAUUCAAUCUUAUCGAUGGAUGAAAGGUUGAGUGGUGCAGCUCUAUCAGGAAAUAUAGAUGCCUUGUAUGAUUUAAUCAAAGAUGAUGCGGAUGUUUUACGACGCAUCGAUGAGAUGGAGUUCGUUGAUACUCCACUGCACAUAGCUGCAGCUGCAGGGCACACCGAGUUUGCAAUGGAGUUGAUGAACUUAAAGCCAUCAUUCGCUAGGAAGCUCAACCAAUGCGGCUUUAGCCCCAUUUACCUAGCCUUGCAAGAGAAACAAGAAAAGAUGGUGGAUGAUCUCCUAUCAAUUGAUAAAGAUCUCGUUCGCGUCAAAGGGAGGGAGGGUUACACUCCUCUUCAUCAUGCAGUCAGAGAAGGAAAUGUUCCGCUUCUGUCUAAAUUUCUGGAGAAUUGCCCCAAUUCUAUCUUUGAUUUGACUAUUCGAAAAGAGACUGCUCUGCAUAUUGCAGCACAAAAUAAUAAUUUAGAAGCUUUCGAAGCCAUACUGUUUUGGAUUCACAAGACCCACGAAUACGACUACAUGGAGAAAAGAAGAAUCCUAAACUUACAGGACAAGGAUGGAAACACUGUGCUGCACAUGGCCGCAUCAAAUAACCAAACCCAGGUACCAUUUAUCUCAUCCAAAGCGAAAAUAGAAUUUAUCGGCAUUGUAUUAUUUAUCAUUUGUCAAUUAAUUGUGGAUUUUAUAUAAGCAGAUGAUGAAACUGUUAAUGGAAAGCAGGAUGGUUAAGGGGGAUAAGGUUAAUCAAAGUGGUUUUACAGCUUUGCGUGUCUUACAAGAACAAGCUCGAGUUGACAGCGCAGAGAGUGUGAACAUUCUGAAACCGCCUAAAGAGUACCGGAUGGAUUUUGGCCAAGUGUCAUAUGAUAUUUCGAAGAUGAAUCUUGAUACAAUCAAUGCGUUGCUAGUCGUAUUUGCUCUGAUUGUAACGAUGACUUACCAAGCUCUUCUCAGCCCGCCGGGUGGAAUUGAAGCUGCGGGGAAGUCAGUCAUCAAGCCUAACGUGUUUAUUUUGUUCUAUACUUUAAAUAUCGCAGCUUUUGGAAUUGCGUGGUUUUCAGCAGUGUUCAUCAUCAAGACAGUUGCCAACAAAAUCGCAGGUUAUGUGGUUAUACUGUUCUCAUUGAUCUGCUUGUGCUACAUUGUUGCACAUUUUAUCAUAGCGCCAACGCUACAUGUCGGUGGGGUUGCUUUUGCUGCUGCUUUCAUAAUUGGCAGCAUCCUUGCUAUAAUGGUUCAUGUAUCCAUCGCAUAAGAAAUUAAUUUCUUACUUUAUAAAUAUUGAAUUUAAUAUCCUUUUUAUAAUUUAUAUAAAUCAAAUUGUUUUGACACUCUAAAACUAAAUGGAAUUGUAGAAAGAAAGCACCAACACAUCCUAGUAGUGGCAAGGUUCUUUAUGCAUCAGCCAAAGCUCCCAAUUCACUUUUGGGUAGAGUCGGUGCUUAUUGCCAUUCAUAUCAUUAAUAGCAUACCAACCAAGGUCCUCAAAAACAAGCCACCAUAUCAGUUACUGCACAAAAAGCGACCAGCCUAUGACUACUUUAGAGUUUUUGGAUGUUUGUGCUUUGUUUUCACACUAGCACAUAACAGAAAAAAAUUUGACAGGAGAGCCAAUAAAUGUAUUUUUGCAGAAUAUUUAAACUAAGUAAAAAUGUAUAGAGUCUAUGAUCUGGAUUCACAGAAAGUCAUAACAUCAAGGAAUGUAGUUUUCAAUGAGAAUGUAUUCCCUUUCAACAUUUCACAUCAUGAUUCACAAUAUUCUGCUUUUUAUCAAACACAUGGUAUGCAUUGUACUUCCAUGAAUGAUUUUGACUUUGACCUAACAAGCUCUCCUUUACAUGAGCACAUAUCAACUAAAUUAUAUGUAAAUGACCUCUCAUCGAAUGCAGAACAUGCUAGCACAUCAGAAAAUGAUAGCCAUUCAUAUAUUCUAUCACCUAUACAUAGUAUGCACAUCGAUGAUCCUAAAACAGAAAACAAUGUUGACCUUGUUAAACCAAUCCAACCACUUAGGAGAAGCUCUAGACAUAGACAGACUCCUAAAUACCUGGAUGCAUACUACACUGAACUACNGAUAUGUUCUCGUUGAGGAUCCUCAAAGUAUGCUAAAAUGCAUAGAGACAAGCAUAUGUACUUUGUCCUUUGUAUCGAUUGAUCCCUUGAAGAUGAGAGACGCUGGGAGGGAAGAAGUACUAAUGAGUUCAAGCAGAAGAAAAUUUAUCCUAAUCCUGAUCAAUUGAUUUUUCUACUAUAGUUUUAUUGUUAGCUUACAUUUUUUUUCUCAGCCAUCAUUUAAUUGAUGUGUUCAAUAAUGAACAUCUGAGAUAAGAAGACAGAGCCAGAGCAUUAAUAAUACAAACUUUAAGCCCUAAGCCCUCCCAUCCAUUAAGCUUUUCAUUGAUACUCCUGUGCAAAGCUGCAGCGGCAGGGCCAGUUGAUUUUGCGGUGGAGAUGAUGAACUGGAAGCUAUCGUUUGCCUCAACGAUCAAUCCAGAUGGUUUUACCCCAUUGCACCUUGCUUUGCAAAAAGGCCAAACUCAGUUUCUAUAUGAGCUCCUGAAAAUCAACAAUGACCUGGUUCGAGUCAAGGGGAAAAAUUAAAGGUGCGACACUUCUGCAUUACGCAGAUGAACUGGAAGACAUUGAUCUUUUGGCUAUGUUUCUUGUAGCUUGCCCUGAAUGCAUCAAAGAUGUGACUGUUGGAGGUAAAACUGCGGUGCAUAUUGCAGCAGAAAACAACAAUAUUGAAGCUCUUGAAGUCCUGACACGUUGGCUACGAAGGACUCACAACAAAGAUGGUGGAUUCUGGGAAAUUGAAGUCAUGAACUGGAAAGACAAGGAUGGCAACACACAGUGGCGGAGUCAGGUUUUUUUGUUUAGAAGGGCGAAUAGUCAAAGAUAAUAUAAAAUAUAAAAAUAUACUAAUAAAUUCUAAAAAUUAUUAAAAGAAUCAAUCUUAAAAAUUUAGUUAGAAGAAUUAACUAGUAUAAUCAUAAAUAAUUUAAUAAUGAUCAUAAUCUCAAUUUCUAGAUAAAAUUAACAACAAACAAAAAUUAAUAAAUAUAAUAACAAAAAUUUCAAAGAAAAGUAAUUCAUUAAAAAAAUUAAUGGUUAUCAAUAAACAAUUCAAUGAGAAGCAAUUCCAUAAAUUUAAUCACAAAAAUUAAAUAUAAUAUCAAUAAACAAUUCAAUGAGAAAGUAAUAUCGAAUAAAAAACUUAAUUGUUCACAAGAAUAUAAGCAAAUAAAAAAAACACAAAUACUUUGUAAGAAAACGAUAAAACAAUCUCUAAAUAAAUAAGUAAUAACUAACAUUAAGAACUUAAUCAAAUUCUAGCAAUCAAAAAGGUGUAAAAAAGAUUUUUUGUUUCUAUAGUAUUUAGUAAAAAGAAAAAUGAACAGUAGGGAGUGAUUGUGAAGUUUUAAAAAAUUAAAGUUUGAGAAUAAUUCUAUUACAAUAGAUUUUAUUUUAAUUUUAUUAAAAUUUAUUAUUAACUAAUUGUUAUGGAACAUCUCACCAAAUAAAAUAUUAUUGUAGGGAUAAAAUUAUAAAUUUAAAAAAAAUGUUAAAAAUUUUUAAAAUUUUUGUAAGAGUGAAAUUAUUAAAUUUUGAAAUUGUAAGAGUGAAAUUUUGAAAUUAUUAAAUUAUUAAAUUGUAAGAGUUAAACCAAUCCAACCACUUAGGAGAAGCUCUAGACAUAGACAGACACCUAAAUACCUGGAUGCAUACUACACUGAACAACCACUUCAUACAAAUUCAACCACACCAUGCCCUAUAACCAAUUACCUAUCAUGUCAAAAACUGUCACCAACACAUAGAGCCUUCACUAUGUCCAUGUCAUAUAUCCAUGAACCAAGUUCUUGCCAAGAAGUUGUGAGCCAUUCACAUUAGAGAGAUGCUAUAGAAGUUUAGCUGAGGGCUUUGGAGGAUAAUCAAACAUGGAUUAUAAUACCAUUGCCUUAAGACUCCCAUACAAUUGGAUGCAAAUGGGUAUACAAAGUCAAGCUGGGAGUCAAUGGAGAUAUAGAAAGAUACAAAACUCGCCUGGUAGCUAAGGGAUACAACCAAGUUGAAGGUUUUGAUUAUCAAGAAACCUUCGGUCCCAUGGCAAAACAAACCACAAUCAGAGUAUUCCUUGCCUUAGCAACAGCAAACAAAUGGACAUUAUCUCAACUUGACAUAAACAAUGCAUUCUUGAAUGGAGACUUGGAGGAGAAAAUGUAUAUGGAACUCCUACAAGGAUGAUGUUGGAUCAAAAUUAGUUUGCAAGCUGCACAAGGAUGUGUAGGAGAGGGGGGGGAGGGGGGGAACUUUUUAUAUUUAAAUCCCUAUUCCUAUUCAUUAUUAUUAGAUUAUAGAUAACUUCUUUUCAAGAAAAAAAAAAAGGUUUCUGAAGCAUGAAAUUAAAUUCAAAUGUUGAAUUGAUGAAAACUUGACCAGGAGAUGGCAACAAGACAAUGAUAUGUUGAGGAGAACAAGAACAUUGUAAUCCUCACCUAUGUUAAAGCAAUGCUUAACUAAUUUCUAAAGUUUUCAUUUCAAUCUAUUUCUCUUGGUGAUAAAACUCAAUCUGAGGAAAGGAAAGAUAGAUGGGGAUAUAGAAUCUCAGUCACGUUUUACACGCCAGUGUACAAUAGACGCAAAUUCUUGAGGGUCUAAACUAAGAAUGAAGAAAAGCACCUUAAUGCUUGACUGACAAAUAUCAACCAUUUCCAUGGCUAACGCUUUUAAAUAGGGAACCAUUCUCCUCUUUCUUUCUCACUCCCUGUCUACCACUUUAAACUCAAGCUAAACCCUUCCAAACUUCCCGGUUUUAUACCAUUAUCAUGACUGAAGAGAGUUUUAGCAUCACAAUUGGUCGUCCUUUCUCAAUGCAGGAGAGGGUGAGGAAUGCUGCUAAAGAAGGUGAUGUUGAGGCGUUGUAUGAGCUUAUCCGGGAGAAGGCUGAUUUUUUGAAGGACAUCGAUCAAAUGGAGUUUGUUGAUACUCCAUUACACGUAGCUGCAGCUGCAGGACGCACUGGGUUUUGCAUUGGAGUUGAUGGACUUAAAGCCAUCACUUGCUACGAAGCUGAACCACGACGGGUUGAGCCCCAUGCGCCUUGCGUUGCAGAAUGAGCAUGCAGAGACGGUGCUCUCACUCCUGAGAUUCGAUAAGAAUAUCGUUCGUGUCAAAGGGAAGAACGGCUACACUCGUUUCCAUUAAUCAGCAAUGAAAGGAGACCGACCGUCGGGUUUUGAAUGAAUUUCUCAAGGAUUGCCCUCAAUGUAAUCAUGAUGUGACAAAUAGAAAUGAAAAUGCCCUGCAUCUUGCAGUGCGGAAAAACAAUUUCGAAGCUUUACAAGUUCUAAUGCUCUGGCUGUGGAGCUCUGAUUGUAAUAUGAGGCAGAUUAAAAGAAUUCUGAACUUCAAGAACAGGGAUGGCGACACUGUGUUGCACAUAGCACCAUCCAAUAACCAACCAAAGGUAUGAAUUUGAUCUCACCCAAGCUUUCUUUUUUUAAAUUGUAUUUAAGUGUUACGAAUUUACGAUCGUUUGUCAACAUGUAUGUUACUUUAUUUUUCAAUGCAUGCAGAUUGUCAGGUUAUUAACUGAUUAUGGGAUAAUGAACAUGAAAGCUACCAAUUCGAAGAAUUUAACAGCUUUGGGUAUCUUACAAGGCCAAAAUCAAGAAGACAGCGGAAAGUGCAAGCAAAUUCUACUCUCUGCUUACCGUGCCAUUUUCGUCGGAGCAAUUGCUCUUAUUCAACGAAUUAGUCAACUUAAAUAUAAUAUUAAAACCAUGUCAGGUGACAAGAACAAUGCUUUGCUGGUAGUAACAGUACUUAUUCUAGCAGCCACUUGCCAAGCCAGAGACAAACAGGUCAAUAAUAUCUACCUUCAUUUGAAGAGAGUUCACUUGGUAUUAACUUUUUAAAAGAUAUUGAAAAAAACACAACGAAUAGAAUCUUAAAAUAAAUCGAUUUAGUGGAACGAUUUUAAAUGCUACCAGAUUUUUGCAUUAAGAAUCCAAUGAAUUGCAAUGAUUGAAUCUAAUUCAAUAAUUAAGGACCUCUUUCCGAACCACCGUGAGUGAUAAAAAAUUUGAAGAGCCAUCUCUCGCUUUCUUGACUUCACCUAAACCUAAAGUGUUGUCGUCACGUUGAUGUUUUACUCUUAUGAGCCGUCCAUAAGUUUUGAAUAUAACAUAGCCACGUUUGCUAACCCGCCUUGAAUAUAUUUAAAACCAGAUUCGAGUAGAGAGAGAGAGAGAGAGAGUUGUCAUCAUAGUGGUCUAAAUUAUUGAAAAUUUUAUAAUAUAUACUACCGUUUUACCACGAAAACUCCUUUAUUCUGGCUUUUCUGUUCGCGGUUGACUAAAAUGGAUUGACUAAACGGCACCGAGGCUUUUCCUUGUAAGUUCGUCAAGGUACUCCUCUGCAUCCUCUUGAUAGAUGUUAAUUCAGGGGCGUCUUAGCUAAGAAUGAAGACAAGCACCUUAAAGCGUGAUUGACAAAAAUCAACCAUUUCCAAGCCCAAUUGUUAGAUAAACGGAACCAUUCUCCUCUUUCCUUCUCACUCUUGUUUACUUCAUUUUCUCUUUCUACUCUAUAUCUGCUAUAAAUAGACUAACCCUUUCAGUUAUUUUCCAAAGAUUGUUAUUCAAUCUUAUCGAUGGAUGAAAGGUUGAGGCGUGCAGCUCAAUCCGGAAAUAUAGAUGCCUUGUAUGAUUUAAUCCAAGAUGACGCGGAUGUUUUACGACGCAUCGAUGAGAUGCAGUUCGUUGAUACUCCACUGCACAUAGCUGCAGCUGCAGGGCACACUGAGUUUGCAAUGGAGUUGAUGAACUUAAAGCCAUCAUUCGCUAGGAAGCUCAACCAAUGCGGAUUUAGCCCUCUUCACCUAGCCUUGCAAAAUAAACAAGAAAAGAUGGAGGAUUAUCUGGACCAUAUGAGGAUUCAAAAUGGACAAGACAACUCAGCUUGAUAUUCAAAACUCCUUGCUUACGUGCACAUGUUUACAUGCUGAUACGGUUGUGGUUUGGUAAUAAGAUUUGGCAUUGCAAUUGUAGCUGCAUCUGAUGACAAUUGCAAAACCAAACAUCAUAAAAAUAGCAAUAAAAAAAUCUCAAUCGCGGUGAGUUUUUUCUCAAUCGCAAUUGCAGCUUUGUGUAGUGUGAAUAUAAAUGUAGCUUGUUGGUAUCUAAGACGAGAGCUUAGCUGCUUGUGAAAGGUUUCUACCAGAAAAAUAAGUUGGGUCUCAAUAAUUAAUGGCUUGUUUGAUCAUGUCUUGCACUGUACUUUGUAUUAAACUUUAUUGAAAUCAAUCGAAAGAGUGAGUUUUAGUCUUAAAAGUUUUUUGGGGUUUCUGCUAUUGAGUUCUUCAAGUGAUAAGAAUGGUAUAGAUUUUGAUAGAACUUUUAGAUUUGGGACUGUAUCAAACAAAAGUUUAUUCUCAGUGGCCCUCGACUCUAUUUCAAUCCAAAGGAUCCCAAAACGCAAUGAUUAAUUAAUUAGAAGAUGAAGAUGAAGAUGAAAAUGAAAAUGAAAAGCAGACAGGGUUGAAGUCAUUCGUACAGGAGCGAUGAUUCCUGGCUAUGGCUCGCAUCAUCUGUCAAUGCUAACCACACCUUCUUCUUGAAUCCUGAUCAAUACAAACUUCCACUGUCCUAAGCCCAAACCAAACCAUGAAGUUUAUCUUUUGUUCCCCACUCCGAUUCUCUAUGCAUUUAAAAGCUAAGGCAUCGUAGAAAUGUUAGCAGUGCUGUAAUAAGAGGCCAAAUGGUUAAGAAAUCAAACCAAGAGAUUGGACCAAUUGAUAACAAUUUUCUCAAUAAUAUUGAAAUUAUUUUAUUUGAGAGAGGCAUUUACAUAAUUUAUUUUAGUAUAUGAUAAUUAGAUCACAGAGGUGGUGGAGUCAUAUUUGAUGUUUAUGUCGUGAAGUGAAUUUCAACGUUAAUAUAAGCUCAUGAUAUAAGGGAUUGGUGUCGGGACCAAAAGAUCAAUGUUAAAAGCUGAGUAAAUUAUGGAUAAGUAAUCCAUAACAUUAAAUGUAUGUUAAGAUAUUUUAAUUGAUUUUUCUUCAACUGCUUUUUUGAUAACACAAUCUAAUCAAAGCUCGAUUUUUAUGACAAAUGCCGUCGUGCUACAGUAAUAGCUACCAUAUGUUGGUCUUUCAGCAUUAAUCCUGCAGGGACAUGAGGUGGUAACUAUUCAUUUUUAUUUUAGUAAAAAAAAUAUAAAAUAUGAAAUAAUCCGGAAAAAAAAUUCAAACCUAAAUAAUAAAGGCAAUCAUUCCAAACCCAUAAUGAAUCCAAUUUAACUCAACCGGUCUCGGCCCAUUGCAUCCCUAUCCCUAGGCAACUCUUCCCGGUGGUACGUGCGGUCAACCGGUAGGCAUGCUUCCCCUAAAAUCAAGAAGCCCAAUUAAAAUGGGGCCGAGUGAAAUAACCUGAUACACUCAAGAGCUCACCCACCAACCACUUAAAAUGCUAAAGUGAUUUUUGCAAUAAGAAUCCAAUGAAUCUCAAUCAUUGAAUCUAAUUCAAUAAUUAAGGACCUCUUUCCCCUGAUAUGUGAUAAAAAAUUUCAAGAGCCAUCUCUCCCUUUCUUGACUUCACCGAAUCCUAAUUUGUCGUCACGUUGAUUUUUAACUCUUAUGAGCCGUCCAUAAGUUUUGAAUAUUAAUUACAUAGCCGCAAGUGCUAUCCACCUUGAAUAUAUUUAAAACCAGAUUCAAGUAGAAAGACAGAGUUGUCAUCAUAGUGAUCUAAAUUAUCGAAAAUUUUAUAAUAUAUACUACUGUUUUACCACGAAACUCCUUUAUUCGGCCUUUUCUGUUUUUUAAUCUUUCCCGGUUGACUAAACAGCACCGAGGCUUUUCCUUGUAAGUUCGUCAAGGUACUCCUCUGCAUCCUCAUGAUAGAUGUUAAUUCAGGAGGGUCUUAACUAAGAAUGAAGACAAGCACCUUAAAGCGUGAUUGACAAAAAUCAACCAUUUCCAAGCCCAAUUGUUGCAUAAACGGAACCAUUUCCAAGCCCAAUUUUUACAUUUUAAAAUAUAGUCAGUAGAGAAUUUUCGUCAAAACCGAGUAUCGUUUACAUUUUUGCUAGGAAGUUUCUUUAACAGAAUACUCCUUGAGCCGUGAGCACUCCUUGUAUAUUAUUAUUCAACCCCAAUUGCUAUAUAAACGGAACCAUUCUCCUCUUUCCUUCUCACUCUUGUUUACUUCAUUUUCUCUUUCUACUCUUAUCUGCCACAAAUCGACUAACCCUUCCAGUUAUUUUCCAAAGAUUAUUAUUCAAUCUUAUCGAUGGAUGAAAGGUUGAGGCAUGCAGCUCAAUCAGGAAAUAUAGAUGCCUUGUAUGAUUUAAUCGAAGAUGACGCGGAUGUUUUACGCCGCAUCGAUGAGAUGGAGUUCGUUGAUACUCCACUGCACAUAGCUGCAGCUCAAGGGCACACUGAGUUUGCAAUGGAGUUGAUGAACUUAAAGCCAUCAUUCGCCAGGAAGCUCAACCAACGCGGCUUGAGCCCCAUUCACCUAGCCUUGCAAAAGAAACAAGAAAAGAUGGUGGAUGAUCUCCUAUCAAUUGAUAAAGAUCUUGUUCGUGUCAAAGGGAGGGAGGGUUACACUCCUCUUCAUCAUGCAGUCAGGGAAGGAAAUGUUCCUCUUCUGUCUAAAUUUCUGGAGCAUUGCCCCAAUUGUAUCUUAGAUUUGACUAUUCGAAAAGAGACAGCUCUGCAUAUUGCAGCACAAAAUAAUCAUUUAGAAGCUUUCAAAGCCAUACUGAGACGGCUUCCCACUGUAUACGAAGCAGCAAUCCUAAACUUAGAGGACAAGGAUGGAAACACUGUGUUGCACAUAGCCGCAUCAAAUAACCAACACCAGGUACAAUCUAUCUCAUCCUAAGAGAAAAUAGAAUUAAUCUGGCGUUGUAUUAUAUUGUUGAAAUUUUAAGCUUUAGAGAUUUACAGAGAGAACAAAGAACCAGUGGAGAGAGUGAAUAAAACUUAGCAUGCUCAUUCCGCUUUCAAAAUCCCUUUUUAAUAGACAAACCCGAUUUGUUCCUUUUAGUUUAUGGUCUGUUUGUUUUUGCUUUGAUGCUGUCACAACACAGAGGAUAGAGGCAUCCUUUCAUCUUUGAUCAUUUUUUCUAUCUCAAUUUACUCUACUUAUUUUCUGUUUCAUGACGUGGGGACUUUUUUGACAAGAGUUAUCUUGUUUUAGUCAGUUUAACAGACCGCAUCAUUGCUCUCCUUGAAUAGCAGUUACUAUCUUUUGUAAUUAUUUUUACUAUCAAUGAAAUCUUUGAUUGGCUGAGAAAAAAAAAAUAGAUAAACCCGAUUAGAGGAAGGGGAAAAACAAUUAAAACAAAACAGCCAAUUGUCACAGGAGACAUGGCAUUGCUUUGCUUCCCACUACUCGGCUGGUACCUUACCUCGUACUACCAGCCGAUUACCAACCAACGCGUGGUGCCUAUGGUAGAGACACGUGAGGUAGAGCACGUGAUGUCUUCUUCUCCAAAGUUUAAACCAAUUGACGCGAACCCCCGUUAACUUGCACAGAUAGAACAUAUAUAUUAUUUGUCAAUUAAUGGUGGGUUCUGUAAAUGCAGAUGAUCAAACUGUUAAUAAAAAGCCAGAAGAUUGAUUGGAAUAAGGUUAAUCAGAGUGGUUUUACAGCUUUGCAUGUCUUGGAAGCACAAGCUGGAGAUGACAGGAGAGAGAAUGUGAACAUGCUGAAACGUGCCAAAGUUCCACCCUCAAUUUUUUUAGCGAAGAUGGUUCUUCAAAGUCGGCGUUUUACCGAAAUAAUAACUGAUAUUCUGGAAAUGAAAACUGAUACGAUCAAUACGUUGCUAGUCGUAUUGGCACUGAUUCUAUCGAUGACUUACCAAGCUGUUCUCAGCCCACCGGCUGGUGCUCGAGAUGCGGGGAAAUCAUUCAUCAAGCAUUUGGUGUUUUUUUCGUUCUAUGCUUUUAAUUCCGCAGCUUUCAGCCUUGCGUGGCUCUUAACACUUAUGCUUGUCACUGUCGUUGCCAAGAGUAUCAUAAUUCUUCUGUUGCUACUAUACCUGAUGAUGGCUUGUUGCUACGCUGUUGCAUAUUAUACCAUAUCUCCAAACCUGUAUGUCAGUUUCGGUGCUGAUGCUGUUGCUGUUGGUGCCAUCAUUGCUGUCUUAUUUUAUUGUUACUUUUAUUUCCGUCCCAAAAAUUUAUAAAAUGGAUAUGUUUGCUCUUANAGAUACUUUAGAUGGGAUCUGUUUACUCACUGGGAUUAUAAAAUCUCACCCUUCUUCCUAUACAUUUUUCAGUCUCAGACAAUUUGUGGAUAGUCGAGUAGGACGAGAACUAAGCUCAGAACUGCAUAUAGAAAGUAAGAGUUCACAGUCAUACAUCCUCUUGGUCAAUUGGAGCCCACGUGUCAUUGCAGAUCAAAACUUAUAUUUUGGUUAUCUGUAUUUCUAUUCAUACAAAUUUUACUUUACUUUCAUGUGCGAAAAAUUAUUUACGAAUAUUUCUAUUGAAAUUUAUUUUAUGAGAAAAUAGAAUAUUUUUAUUUAUUAUUUUUGAAUUGUACUAGUUGGUCAACAAUUUACUUUCAAAUGAACGUUUAGAUACUUAAUUUGUUUUUAAAUCAUAAAAUAUAUAUUUUCUGCUUACCUACUACAUUUUUAGCAAGUUUUGAGAUUUUGACGAAAAAUUACGAAAAUACCUUUGGAGCCGAAAAAUAAUAUUUUAUUGUUCUUAUUUGAAAAUGACUCAUGAUUUUUUUGAAAUGCAAGAUUUAUAACUGUUGCUCACCGGGGAGAUGCGGAAGUUGAUGCUAAGCCUUGCGGGGUUUCAAUCAGCAUUCGGGGUGAAGAAUGUCUGUUGAGGCAUCGCGGCGGUUGUCACGAGCCCGAUUGGGAGUUCCGGGUCGUGACAGUCAAUAAUAUCUACCUUCAUUUGAAGAGAGUUCACUUGGUAUUAACUUUUUAAAAUAUAUUGAAAAAAGCACAACGAAUAGAAUCUUAAAAUAAAUCGAUUUAGUGGAACGAUUUUAAAUGCUACCAGAUUUUUGCAUUAAGAAUCCAAUGGAUUGCAAUGAUUGAAUCUAAUUCAAUAAUUAAGGACCUCUUUCCGAACCACCGUGAGUGAUAAAAAAUUUGAAGAGCCAUCUCUCGCUUUCUUGACUUCACCUAAACCUAAAGUGUUGUCGUCACGUUGAUGUUUUACUCUUAUGAGCCGUCCAUAAGUUUUGAAUAUAACAUAGCCACGUUUGCUAACCCGCCUUGAAUAUAUUUAAAACCAGAUUCGAGUAGAGAGAGAGAGAGAGAGUUGUCAUCAUAGUGGUCUAAAUUAUUGAAAAUUUUAUAAUAUAUACUACCGUUUUACCACGAAAACUCCUUUAUUCUGGCUUUUCUGUUCGCGGUUGACUAAAAUGGAUUGACUAAACGGCACCGAGGCUUUUCCUUGUAAGUUCGUCAAGGUACUCCUCUGCAUCCUCUUGAUAGAUGUUAAUUCAGGGGCGUCUUAGCUAAGAAUGAAGACAAGCACCUUAAAGCGUGAUUGACAAAAAUCAACCAUUUCCAAGCCCAAUUGUUAGAUAAACGGAACCAUUCUCCUCUUUCCUUCUCACUCUUGUUUACUUCAUUUUCUCUUUCUACUCUAUAUCUGCUAUAAAUAGACUAACCCUUUCAGUUAUUUUCCAAAGAUUAUUAUUCAAUCUUAUCGAUGGAUGAAAGGUUAAGGAGUGCAGCUCAAUCCGGAAAUAUUGAUGCCUUGUAUGAUUUAAUCGAAGAUGACGCGGAUGUGUUACGACGCAUCGAUGAGAUGGAGUUUGUUGAUACUCCACUGCACAUAGCUGCAGCUGCAGGACACACUGAUUUUGCAAUGGAGGUGAUGAACUUAAAGCCAUCAUUCGCUAGGAACCUCAACCAAGGCGGCUUUAGCCCCCUUCACCUAGCCUCGCGAUAUCCAGAAACAGUGAUGGUGGUGGAUGAUCUCCUAUCAAUUGAUAAAGAUCUUGUUCGUGUCAAAGGGAGAGAGGGUUACACUCCUCUUCAUUAUGCAGCCAGAGAAGAAGAUGCUCCUCUUCUGCUUAAAUUUCUGGAGCAUUGUCCCAAUUGUAUCUUAGAUUUGACCAUUCGAAAACAGACUGCUCUGCAUGUUGCAGCACAAUAUAAUAAGUUAGAAGCUUUCAAAGCCAUACUGUUCUGGAUUCAAGGGAGUGACAAAUACCUCGACUCUGAGAAAAGAAGAAUUCUAAACUUACAGGACAAGGAUGGAAACACUGUGUUGCACAUAGCGGCGUCAGAAAACCAACUCGAGGUACCAUUUAUCUCAUCCUAAGAGAAAAUAGAAUUAAUUUGGCAUUGUAUAUUACAUUAUUCGUUAAUGAAUUGUGGAUUUUAUAUAAGCAGAUGGUCAGACUGUUAACAGAAAUCAAGAAGGUUGAUAGGAAAAAGGUUAAUCGGAGUGGUUUUACAGCUUUGGGUGUCUUAGAAGCACAAGCUCGAGUUGACAGAGAGAUUGUCAACAUUCUGAUACGUGCUAAAGAUCGACCCUCAAUGAUCCGUAGGGUGUCAUACUUUACCAAAUUCCAACGUGAUAUUGAGGAGAUGAAACCUGAUACGAACAAUGCGUUGCUAGUCGUAUUUGCACUGAUAACAGCGAUGAGUUACCAAGCUUUUCUCAGCCCACCGGGUUGUGUUUUUCAGGCCGAUGCUGAUUCCAAUAGCACUGAACGUGCAGGGAAAUCAGUCGUCAAACCUUAUGCGUUUUUAAUGUUCUAUUCUUUAAAUUGUGCAGUUUUUGCGCUUGCGUGGGACAUAACAGUUGCCCUCCUCAGAGUAGCUGGCAAGAACAUCCAGCGUAUUGCGCACACACUAUGCUUGGUGACUUGUUUUUGCUCCGGUGCUGCACUGGCUAUCAUAGGCCCAACGCGGGCCACUUUUAUUACUUGGGCUGCUGCUUGGAUCAUUGAAGUGUUUUUUAUUAAGUUAUUUUGAAAGGCAAAGGGAUUAUUACUAAGGAAUUGGUAAAUAAGAGGUUGUUUAGGCCAAAGCUAAGAAGACAGAGAAAGAAACAAUAAGUCAGGAAGAAGGAAGAGAGAUAUUGAUCCGUAAAAAGAUCACUGACGAAAAUUGCCCUAGUGCGUAGAAUCCUUGUUUUGGCCAAUCCAUUGACAAUGGUGUUACUCUCCCUGAGAAUAUGCUUGAAGGACAAUCUAACAGUUCUUCACUUAAGACUCUCAGUUCGAUUGUAAGAUAUGUUUCAACAUGUUAGAGAUAAAGAAUGUAUUGGCUUAGCUUGCACUUAUGUUAUCUUUUACUUUAAUAUGUACUUUGCUUCGUUGUAAUGGUUUUGAGGUAAAAUAUAUCAGCUGACAUGAGGUGUCUGUGUGCAUGUUAAAUGUUUUAACACCUGUCCUUAGUAUAAACAAGUGUUAGCUUACUGAUGCUUGUAUAUACUGUAAGUUUGCUUACUAAUGAAAUAACUUUCUCUUUAUCCGCUGCCCUGUUUUCUUUCUUUUACAGUCCCCAGCAUUGUUUUAAUCGUUUGUCCUACUUUCAUAUCACAACAUUCAUCAAGAAAGAGUGAAGUGAUAAUUUGCACUGGCUAUCAUAGCUUAGGGUGAUAAUUUGCAGCUCAGGGUGCUUUAUGCUGCUGCUUCUUCCAUAGUUGUUGUCAUAUAUUAUUGUAUUUGUUUAUUUCGUUUCAAAAAAAAUACAAUGAAGACGUGUAGAAUUAAUAACAAAUAGUCUCUUAACUUUAUAACAAGGCUUAGAUAGAGACAGAUUAAUGUAGCUUAUUGAUUGAGAAUAUAAUUACCUUUGGAACAAAUAGUUGGAGAGCAAGGUAUGUAUCUUAUGCUGGCAGGUUACAGUUAUUCAAUCAAUUUUGUUCAGAUUGAAAAUUUGAGUCAUGGAAUACGUACCAUUAGACACCGUUAGGUGAAAGUAUAUAGGAAUACAAUGUAUUUUCCUUCCAAGUAUACACCCUAAGCAUGCCCUUAUUGCUUGGAUCCACUUAGUUUAACAAGUUGAACCAAAUAUAGAAAAAGAAUAAGAAUCGGCAUCAAUGAAUCGAUUCAUUCUCUUUAAUACAUUCUAAUUUUUUUCUCGAUAAUAGAUUCUAAUCAAGUAGUAAGCUUUUAACAAUUUGAGGUCCAUCUAAUUUUUUUUGUUUAAAAAAAAAACAAGUUGAGAUCCUUGACAUCCAAAUGAAAAUUUUAAUAUUAGUAUAGAUAGAGGGAUAUUUUAAAAUGCCAAUUAAAUUAAACAUAAGCCUAGGAAAGAUUUUGAUAGAGAUUAUCCACAACUUGUUAUCAUAUUGGUCAAGCAGUUGGGUUUUUUGAUAGACAAAAAUUUUAUGAUAGUCCUCCAUAAAUAAGAAAUUCCUAACGAAAUCUUCUUUGGUCUUCAACUACUUCCAAAUUCCUGUUUUAAAGUUCGAUUAAUCCCACAAGACCUGAAGUGGAUCAGAUAAAGAAAAGAGAAAGAGAUCAAUUGAUACCGUUUCUGGAAAUAAAGAAGGAAGAAAGGAAUAAAGAACGAAAGCAAAAAAAGAUGGAAGGAGAGCUCAGAGAUUCUAUCGCUCCCACGUUUCACAGUCUAGUGUACAAUAGAUGGGGAAAUAGAAUCUCAGUCACGUUUUACACUCAAAGUGUACGAUAGAUGCAAAUUCAGGAGGGUCUUAACUAAGAAUGAAGACAAGCACCUUAAAGCAUGACUGACAAAAAGCAACCAUUUCCAAGGCCAAUUGUUAUAUAAACGGAACCAUUCUCCUCUUUCCUUCUCACUCUUGUUUACUUCAUUUUCUCUUUCUACUCUUUAUCUGCUAUAAAUAGACUAGCCCUUUCAGUUAUUUUCCAAAGAUUAUUAUUCAAUCUUAUCGAUGGAUGAAAGGUUGAGGAGUGCAGCUCUAUCAGGAAAUAUAGAUGCCUUGUAUUAUUUAAUUCGAGAUGACGCAGAUGUUUUACAACGCAUCGAUGAGAUGGCGUUUGUUGAUACUCCACUGCACAUAGCUGCAGCUGCAGGGCACACUGAUUUUGCAAUGGAGUUAAUGAACUUAAAGCCAUCAUUCGCUAGGAAGGUCAACCAAUGCGGAUUUAGCCCUCUUCACCUAGCCUUGCCAAAUAAACAAGAAAAGAUGGUGGCUCAUCUCCUGUUAAUUGAUAAAGAUCUUGUUCGUGUCAAAGGGAGGGAGGGUCACACUCCUCUUCAUCAUGCAGCCAAGGAAGGAAAUGUUCCUCUUCUGUCUCAAUUUCUGGACCAAUGCCCCAAUUCUAUCUUAGAUUUGACUAUUCGAAAAGAUACUGCUGUGCAUAUUGCAGCACAAAAUAAUCAUUUAGAAGCUUUCAAAGCCAUACUGCGACGGCUUCCCACUGUAUACGAAGUAAGAAUCCUAAACUUAGAGGACAAGGAUGGAAACACUGUGUUGCACAUAGCCGCAUCAAAUAACCAACGCCAGGUACCAUCUAUCUCAUCCUAAGAGAAAAUAGAAUUAAUUUGGCAUUGUAUUAUAUUGUUGAAAUUUUAAGCUUUAGAGAUUUUCAGAGAGAACAAAGAACCAGUGGAGAGAGUGAGUAAAACUUAGCAUGUUCAUUCUGCUUUCAAAAUCCCUUUUUAAUAGAGAAACCCGAUUAGAGGAAGGGGAAAAACAAUUAAAACAAAACAGCCAAUUGUCACAGGAGACAUGGCAUUGCUAUGCUUCCCACUACUCGGCUCGUACCUUACCUUGUACUGCCAGCCGAUUACCACCCAAUGCGUGGUGCCUAUGGUAGAGACAUGUGAGGUAGAGCACGUGAUGUCUUCUUCUCCAAAGUUUAAACCAAUUGACGCGAGCCUCCGUUAACUUGCACAGAUAGAACAUAUAUAUUAUUUGUCAAUUAAUGGUGGGUUUUGCAUAUGCAGAUGAUCAAACUGUUAAUAAAAAGCCAGAAGGUUGAUUGGAAUAAGGUUAAUCAGAGUGGUUUUACAGCUUUGCCUGUCUUGGAAGCACCAGCUGGAGAUGACAGCAGAGAGAGUGUGAGCAUGCUGAAACAUGCCAAAGUUCCACCCUUAAUUUUUUUAGGGAAGAUGCUUCUUCAAAGUCGGUGUUUUACUGAAAUAAUAACUGAUAUUCUGGAAAUGAAAACUGAUACGAUCAAUACGUUGCUAGUCGUAUUGGCACUGAUUCUAUCGAUGACUUACCAAGCUGUCCUCAGCCCACCGGCUGGUGCUUGAGAUGCGGGGAAAUCAUUCAUCAAGGCAUUUGGUGUUUGUUUCGUUCUAUGCUUUUAAUUCCGCAGCUUUCAACCUUGCGUGGCUCUUAACACUUAUGCUCGUCACAUUCGUUGCCAAGAGUAUCAUAAUUCUUCUGUUGCCAGUAUACUUGUUGAUGGCUUGUUGCUGCGCUGUUGCAUAUUAUACCAUAUCUCCAAACAUGUAUGUCAGUUUCGGUGCUGAUACUGUUGGUGCCAUCAUUGUUGUCUUAUUUUAUUAUUACUUUUAUUUCCGUCCCAAAAUUUAUAAAAUGGAUAUGUUCACUCUUAAUUUUAUAAGAAGGCUUACCGAGAGAAAUCAUAGCACAUUGAUUGAGGAGAUUACCUCUUGAACAAAUAUUACAGUUGUUCAAUCAAAUUUGUUCAGCUUGCACAUUUUAAUAUUCUAGUGUUGGAUAUGGGAAGCCGGUGUGAGGUGUUUUUUCCUUUGUUUCCACUCUGUUUAUAGUUUUCUGGGCUGUUGGCAUUUCCUUUCACUGCUUGUAAUAAUCAGACUUUGUAUCAGUUUUGAUACUAAUAAAAUCUCUUUUUGACUGAGUAAUAAUAAAUACAUGUAAUGAUAGCAUUAUAUUUUAAUGAGGUUUAAUUUUUUUCAUCUCAUUUUUAUUUUGAUUCAAACUUGGUAUAAAAUUUAUAUAUUUAUAAAUAAUAGACACUUUCAUAAGUUUUUUUUUUUAUAGUUAAAUAUUUUAAUAUUAUUACAAAAAGAAUUGUAAGUAAUAUAUUCUGUGAAAUUGAAGUCAUGAACUGGAAAGACAAGGAUGGCAACACACAGUGACACAGUCAGAUUUUUUUGUUUGGAAGGGCGAAUAGUCAAAGACAAUAUAAAGUAAUUUAGAUAAAAAAAUGCAUAUAAAAAUAUAUUAAUAAAUUCUAAAAAUUAUUUAGAGAGUCAAUCCUAAUAAUUACUUAAAAGAAUUAACUAUCAUAAUCAUGAAUAAUUUAAUAAUGAUCAUAAUCCCAAUUUCUAGAGAAAAUUAACAACAAAUAAAAAUUAACAAAUAUAAUAACAAAAAUAUUAAUGAAAAGCAAUCUCUUAAAAAAUAUUAAAGACUAUCAAUAAACAAUUCAAUGAGAAAUAAUUUCGUAAAAUUAAUUAUUAAAAUUAAAUAUAAUAUUGAAAAAUUAAUCACAAAAAUUGAAGUCAUGAACUGGAAAGACAAGGAUGGCAACACAGUAUUGCACGUAGAUGCAUCCAACGAAUAGAAAUCUCCUGCCCCGUUGGUGCCCCUUCCAUUUGAUUGAUGCUUUUGCCUCCGUGGACCUUGUACACCAUCAGCUAAACAACAACACUAUACAAUUGAAGGUCACAAAGCCAGCAUCAACUUACAAAAUUCAUACCAUUCUCAACUUACGCAAGUAUAUUUGUAAUUUAUUAAAUGAAAACAUAAUACUACUAUAUAAUCGAAGUCAGGGUAGACAGCUUAAUGUUAUUAAUUUCAUGGUAACGAUUCUCUCAUUCCUAACAAAUUAAUGUUAGCAACACCGUUGAUCUCAUUCAAAUCACACGAUGAACACAAGUCAUUAUCAUUUUCAAAGUAAACAUCUGUAGCUCUCAAGAAGCUUGUGGCUGUAAUGCAGUUCAGGAUACGUAACCAUGAAGACAUUGAAUUUUUGAGAGGAUAAAGAAUUUCCAAAUAGAUAAACCUUUUUUUUUUUUUUAUGUGGCCAUAGUUGACAAGACAGCUGUGGGCCUGUGGCUUUCUCUAAAAGAAAAUGUUGCUUUCGUAAAAGUUUUAACUUGAAUAGCACGUUUGGUUCGUGAAAUAGACAAGAAUAAGAUAGAAUAGUUAUUACGUGGGAAUAAAAUAAAGUGAGAAUAGAAUAUAAUAAGUAUUACGUAGUUUGGUAUGAUGAAUGGAAUAGAGUAUGAAUAAUUAUUAUGAUUUAUUACAGUGUUUGGUUGGUAAAAAUAACUUUAGAAUAAGAAAAGAAUAAAAAUAAAAAAACAAAAAUACCCUUUAUUAUAUAAUGAUUAUUUUAUUUUUAUUUUNUAUGUAUUCAUUAUUGUCCCUUUUGAGAUUAAUUUUCCAUUCACUUUUGAUCGAAGAAACUUACUUUACAAAUCUUCCUUCUUGUACACAACAAGAACAAAGCUUGCUUUACAAAUCGCUUUAUAAAUCCUCAUUCGUGUACACAAUCUCUUCAUUCUUGUUGUUAUAGAAUAGCUACUAGAGUCCUCAACAAAGAGUUACACAUUCAAGUACCUCAAGAAUGAAGAGAAUGAAAGAAAGUGUAGAGAAUGAGAGAAAAUGUUUUGAUUUUUCUAACUUACAUAACAAUUCACGUUCACUCUUAAUUGCGUGUAAAAAACCAAUGUCUUUGUUCACUAUUUAUAGAGGUAUUAGGGAUAUAAAGAUACGAUAUCUUUUUUAAAUUUUAAAAAAUUAAAUUUAAAUAUGUAUAAUUAAAAUAUAAAAAUAUAAUAUUUUAAAUUUAUUUAAAAUAUUAAUUUAUAAAUUUAAAUUUAUAAUUUUUAAAAAUAAAUAAAUGACAUUUUAGUCAAAAAUGUAUAGAUUUUAUUCCCAUGGGUGUGGAAUAGCUAAUACCAUGAGGGAUGGUGGUAUUAGCUAUUCCAAGCUUUUGCCUAAUUUUAAAAAAUAGUCAUUCCUUUUGGAAUGGCUAUUCCUUCUCCAAGAGCAAACCAAACAAGGGAAUAAAAUUUUGUAAGGAAUAGAGGGGGAAUGGCUUAGCCAUUCCACCUACCAAACAUGACCGAAGAAGUUCAGAUUAAAGACGUAAGCUUCAACUUGAAACGUUGAAGAAAGACUCAUAUUCAGCUGGAGAAAGCACAAUUUAAGUGUCAUAUUAUUUUCUUAUGACAUAACUUUAUAUAUUGUAAGAGUAGAAAAACCCACCAAUUUAUGUAUUAAUUGUCAGUUCAACCAAACGUAAAUAGGAACAUGAAAAAAAUAGCUUGGUGGGUGCACGGAGGGAUAUAACAGCAAUGGCUUGCCAAAAAAAAGAAUCACUUCGGUUAGCUUGGAUCCAAGGUUGAGGGAGGCAGCUCGAAUAGGAAAUAUAUGUUAAUUUCUUAAGAUUAAAAAUUUCAAUAAUAACUUUGUUAUAAAGUAAUAAUAAAUAAAUAUUAAAAGUUUGGAUAUUGACCUCUUAAAAAGAAAUUAAAUUCAUACUUUUUUUAAAAACAAAAACAAUAUUUAAGUACCAAAAUUAUAAUAAAAUAGUAAGUCUGUUAUUAUAUUAUCAAUUUUUCAUUUGAGAGAAUAAGGGAUUUGAAUUUUAACUCUUUAAAUAAGAAAUGCAUAUACCUAUCAUUUACUUCUUUGUCGACUUUUCUUUUAAUCUAUCUACUUGAUUGUUAAUGUUAUUAAUUUCAUGAUAAUGAUCGUCUCUUUUGCGAAUGCUAAAUGAAGCACACUUAUAUAUCAAUCAUAAUUUAGUUUUUUUAAAAAAAAAAUUAAUUAAAUUUUAUUAUCAAAAACCAGGAAUAGGUUCCUUGGAGAACAGAAAAGUACAUGAUUUUAAGAUGCUAUGCCUUGAUCAGCAUAUCAUCUCAAAAUCUUGUCAUCUUAUCUAAAGAAAGCCAGCUUACAAAGAACCCCAUAAAAACCCCUACCAUCAAUGAACAAAAAACAAAUCAAAAACAGCAAGUAGCCACAACAAGUAUACCCCAAGCCUCCCUACGCAAAAAUCAUUCCUGAUAGGAGAACCAGCAAUCGUGCAAUCUGAUAAAAAACUCAAGGCCUCACAUCAUAGACCUUGAUUCAAAAGCCAAACCACCUCAGCCCAAAAAAGUCAAAAAGCAACAGAGAGAAACGAUCAAACCUGAAGCUUGAAUUCUUCACGCAGCCAUUCAAAGAAGAAGAAUAAAAAAAUGUCCAACCUUUUUACUAUUCAAAGACAUUUAAUAAAUCCUCCUUACGUCUGACCUCUUCAUUCCAAAGACUGUCUGCGAAUUGAUUCUGUUCUCUGAAGAUAUGGUUGACUUCCCACCCUUUAAUGUUCCUUAGCCUCCAAGGACAUCCAGCUGGUCCAUUAAUUCAUUUGACUGUAUUUUUAGAAUCUGACUCAAUUAUCAAUUUGUGAGUCUGGCUCCAUUUUGAUGUUCCAAAGACCAAAAAAGAUUCCCUAAUUGCCCUGACCUCAGUCAUAAUUUAGUUAUAUUUUAAGUAAAUUAAUCACAAAUAAUUUCAAAUCACAGAAAAAUAUGUGGUUCAACUCCCAUUUAAUUUGGUGGAUGCGUACUUCUUCCUCAACCACAGAAAAUAAGAGCUCUGCGUGCUUCUUUAAUAUCAACCAAAAUAAACUUGAAAACCAAACUCCAGAUUUACUUCAUUUUCUCUUUCUACUCUAUAACUGCUACAAAUAGACUAAACCCUUCCAAUUAUUUUCCUGUGAUUAUUAUUAAAUCUUAUCGAUGGAUGAAAGGUUGAGAAGUGCAGCUCAAUCGGGAAAUAUAGAUGCCUUGUAUGCAUUAAUCGAAGACGACGCGGAUGUUUUGCGACGCAUCGAUGAGAUGGAGUUUGUUGAUACUCCACUGCACAUAGCUGCAGCUGCAGGCAACACUGAUUUUGCGAUGGAGAUGAUGAACUUAAAGCCAUCAUUCGCUAGGAAGCUGAACAAACGCGGGUUUAGUCCCCUUCAUCUAGCCUCGCAAUAUGCAAAAAAAAAGAUGGUGGAUGAUCUCCUAUCAGUUGAUAAAGAUCUUGUUCGUGUCAAAGGGAGGGAGGGUUACACUCCUCUUCAUUGUGCAGCCAGAGAAGGAGAUGUUCCUCUUCUGUCUAAAUUUCUGGAGGAAUGCCCCAAUUGUAUCUUUGAUUUGACUAUUCGAAAAGAGACUGCUCUGCAUUUUGCAGCACAAAAUAAUAAUUUCCAAGCUUUCAAAGCCAUACUGGACAGGAUUCAAGAGACAGACAAAUACCACGACAUUGAGAAAAGAAGAAUGCUAAACUUACAGGACAAGGAUGGAAACACUGUGUUGCACAUAGCCGCAUCAAAUAACCAAACCCAGGUACCAUUUAUCUCAUCCUAAGAGAAAAUAGAAUUAAUUUGGCAUUGUAAUGUAUUUUAUUUGUCAAUUAAUUGUGGAUUUUAUAUAAGCAGAUGAUCAAACUGUUAAUAGAAAGCAAGAAGGUUGAUAGCAAUAUGGUUAAUCAGAGUGGUUUCACAGCUUUGCAUGUCUUACAAGAACAACCUGUAGUUGACAGAGAGAGUGUGAACAUUCUGAUACGUGCUAAACAUCCAGCCUCAAGGUUCCGUAGGGCGUCAAACUUCAACAAAUUGACACGUGAUAUUGAGGAGAUGAAACUUGAUACGAUCAAUGCGUUGCUAGUCGUAUUUGCACUGAUUCUAGCGAUGACUUACCAAGCUCUUCUCAGCCCGCCAGGUGGUGUUUUGCAGGCUGAUGCUGGUUCCGAUUCUGAUCAUGCAGGGAAAUCAGUGAUCAAGCCUGUUAUGUUUAUUAUUUUCUAUGUUUCAAAUAGCGUAGCUUUUAUAAUGGCGUGGAUCUUAACAAUGGCCCUCCUCAGCGUCGUUGGCAAGAGGAUCGUGUUUACUGUGUUCUCACUAUACUUGUUGAUGUGUUUGUGCUAUGGUGCUGCACUGGGUGUCCUAGAACCAAUAGCAUUUAGCGGUUGGGGUUCUUGGAUUGCUGCUGUCAUCACUAAUGUCUUGUUUUUUUAUGUUUGGUAACAAGAAAGUAACUGCAAGAAAAUUGUUUGUGUUAAUUUUUUGUUAUGUUAAUUUUAUAGAAAAAUACUGCUCACCAUCAUUCAAUUUUUAAAAUUGUUUUUAUUCUUAUAUUUUUUUGUCAUAACAUUAUAAUAAUAUCAGUAUUCAUCUAUAAAUAUUAUAUAUAUAAAUAAUAAAAUAUUAUAUUAUAUAUAUAAUAAAAUAAUUAAAAAUUGAUAAAUAAGAGGAACAAGAAUUGAAAAUUAAAUAUAAAGGGUGUCUUUUUCAACUGUUAGAAAUAUUGGAUAUUCCAAUUGAGCCCAAAUAAAUAUGGGGAGACUUUUCCAUUGCCAUUGGUGAACUCAAAGAAAUAUUACUUAUUUCAGAAUUCAAACUCGAUAUUAAAUUAGAAGCCUCAAGUUUACAUUGGAGUGUUGUCUUCAUAAUGGUUUGAUUGUAAUUGUCAUUUGAUGGUUUAAUUAGAUCAUAAUGGUGGGUGGUCAGUUCAACCUUUAGGCUUUUUCCUUUUCUGGAGGUGGAGAUGGGGACUAAUGCCUUCCAUAUCUUUUUCCUAUUAGUUAAGCAAAAUCUGUGUGAAGCAACUUCUACAAGCAAGAUCAUCUCGAUCAAACUUCUUCUCUGAACAUAAUAGUAUGGAUUAUGCGAUAGUACAAGAACAAUAAUUAGAGCGAUUUAAGAUUCUCAAAGCAAAAUCGUGUUCUAUGUAUUAUCGCUUCGAAUAAUUCUUUUACUCAAAGCAAAGCAACCAUUGAAGAGGACAAAAAAGUAUGGAAACAUAUCCUCAGAAUAAACGUUCAACUGUAUAUAAGAAUCCAUCUCAAUCAACUUUGAUUGGCAGCAAGCAUAUAUACUAAAUUUCUAAGACUAAAAAUGAAGGAUUUUUUGAGUUUAGCAAUCUUUUUUUUCUGAAUCUCUCUUUCUGUUGGUAAUAAAUUCAGUCUAUUUUGUCCAAGCAAAAAUCAAUAAGAAAAGGAGGGAGGGAAGGGACAGAUGGAAUCUCUCUCACGCUUUACACUCAAGUGUACAGUAGAAGCAAAUUAGGAGGGUUCUUGACUAAGAAUGAAGAUAAGCAUCUUAAAGCGUGACUGGCACAAAUCAACCAUUUACAAGGCCACUUCUUAUAUAAACGGAACCACUCUCCUCUUUCUUCCUUACUCUUGUUUAUCAAUUCUAAACUCAACCUAAACACUUUCAAGCUUUUACCAUCUCUUUGGCAAUGACAGAGAGUGCAAUCAUCUCAAUACGUCCUUGCACAACAUCGGAAGAGAAGGUGAUGGAUGCUGCUCGAUCGGGUGAUAUUGGUACGUUGUAUCAACUUAUUGGGGAGGACGUAAAUGUCUUUAAGCGGAUGAAUAAGAGGCGGUUCUUUGACACUCCACUACACAUAGCUUCAGCUGCGGGAAAGACUGAGUUUGCGAUGGAACUGAUGUACCUAAACCCGUCAUUUGCUACGAAGCUGAACAAAGAUGGCUUGAGCCCCCUACACCUUGCUUUGCAAGAGGGGAAAACAGAUUUGGCGCUUUCUCUGCUGACAAUCAAUAAAAAUCUGGUUAGUGUCAAAGGGAAGAUGGGUUACACUCCUAUCCAUUACCUAGCUAUGAAAGAAACAGACCGUAAUCGUUUGACUAAGUUUCUCAAUGCUUGCCCUGAAUGUAUCCAUCAUGUGACAAGUCGAGAUGAAACUGCUCUGCAUGUUGCCGCAAGUAACAACAACAUAAAAGCUCUUGAAGUUCUACUACGCUGGCUUAGGAAAACCAGUAACUGUAGCAUGCUCCAAAAAGAAAGAGUCCUUAACCACCCGAACAGGGAUGGCGAUACCGUGUUGCACGUAGCAGUCUCCAACAAACCACCGGAUCCCGAGGUCCAUUCUAGUUCAUUUACAUUUUAGGUAAAACAGAAUCUCUUUACUUUCCAUCUCUGCAAUGUAGUUUACUUUGUUUUUUUUUCAAUGCAGAUGGUCAGGCUAUUAACAAGUUUUAGGAUCAAAAUGAAAGCUACAAAUUCGAGAGGUUCAACGGCCCUGGAUAUCUUAAAAUGCUGCCGAACUCAAGAAGACAAUAUCAAUAUCAAGAAGUGUGUGGACAUUUUAGGCCAUGAUCAGUGUCUGAAUGCUUGUCGCAAAGGACUAUGGUAUUUUCUCGAACUGCUUAGUCAAUGGGGAUACGAAAUUAAACAUAUGUCAAAUGACAGGGGCAAUGCUUUGCUAGUAGUAACAGUGCUGAUUCUAACAGCUACUUACCAAGCCACCCUAAGCCCUCCUGGUGGUGUUUUGUCACUUGAUGCUGAUACCAACAACAAAAAUGUUUCAGCCUUGCAAAUUUACUUUGAUACCAAGAACACCACCCGAGUGGAAACCAAAGCAAAUUACACUGCGGGAUCAUCAGUACUGCAGACAAUACCUUUUCUUUGGUUCUUUAUUCCAAACUUGGUGGCUUUCGCUAUUUCUUUCCUCCUAACCUGUUUCGUACUUCUCACUCUCGUUAGUGGUUUCUUCUCGUUUACCCUCAUCCUAUCCCUGUCAAUGUUACUAUUUUGCCUCCUGGUAUCUGCAGUGAUGAUCAUAUCGCCAAAUAAUCAAUCCAGCAACAUUCUUUUAUUUUGUGUCUAUAUUAUUGUGUACGUCACCUACUGUGCCAUUGCACCAGUACUGAUCCCCAAAAUAAGGAGAAUGUUUCGUUAAGAGUGCAAGUCGAGAUGGAUUACGAAAGCCAUAGAGCUCUGUGGCUGAUGCAAAGAGUGGUGUUGUCAAUGUCAAGAUCAUAUUUUCUAGGCUAAUUGCUCCGGUUAGGUGUUUGGCUUUUGUCUUUAUUUUUCAAGCUGCGGGUCGGUCUUCCUUUGAUCUUUGUUUGGGAGUGUUGAUUGUCAAUCUGCCUUUGGUUGUAUUACAGUCUUUAACGACUGUUUUCUUUAAUAAUAAUAAUAAUAAUAAUGACUUUUUUUAAUAAUAAUCCUAAUCUUUUUCCUUAAAAAUAUACUCAUUUUAAGAUUUGAGGUUUAAAAAAUAUUUCAUUUAUUAUUCAAUUUCUUAUUUCUUCCAAAUCAUGAUGAACUCUGCGUUUUCAAUUUUAUUCAUGUAAAAAAAAUUGAUGACAAAAGUUGAGGAUUACUCUAAAGAAAUUCCUCACACCUCAAGAAUAUUUUAAAAUAAAAUUACUUAAUUUUUAAAGAGGUUUUAUCGUGGGACUAAUUUUGUAUUUUACGAAAUGGCUUUGAUUUGAUUUUUUUCACUUUUGAUUUCUUGAUUUUUAUGUCUAUUAUCCUAAUUUUUAACAUAAUCUUAUUUUAUUUCUUCAAAAUUAUUUCUUGAAUUAUACAUUUGCAUGUUUUAUGUUAAGAAGUAAAUGAUAACCUUUACAUAGAAAUUUUUUUUAAGCUUCCCAAUACUUUUGGUAGAAUUUAGUAAUUUUCUUUACUUGAAAACUUUAAGAAAUUUGUCAUUUAUAAUUUUUUUUAAUUUCAUAAUUGGUUAGAUUUUCACUUACUAAAAAUGCAAAUGAUGCAAACAAGUAUACUGUUUUUGCUCAGUGAAAAACAAUAUUAAUUAUUGUGAAAAAGCGACAAGUAAAAUAAUUAUCAUAAUAUAUCUAAUUCUCAAAUGAUAGUAAAGUUAAAGACAUUAAAUACGAAUCUCAUAACACCUAAUUAAGUUAGGAGUAACACACAAUUACCACUAAACAUAAAACAUCUUUGACCUGGCCACUCCAUGCUAUAUUAUCAUAAUUAAUUGCAAUUUUAUUUUGAGCAUAAGUGACCCAAUUGAAUUGAUAUAUAGUAAUAUCAGCAUUUUCCAUUCCAAUCAGGCUUGAUUAAAUCCAAAUAAUUUUUUCUUUUCUUUUCUUUGACAAUUUGAGUCACGGGCAUAGUCCUCUCUCUAUGCAUCUAAGAUUCAAAUUCGAUAUAUACUUCCAAAUUGAAACAUCAAGUUAACGGUCAUGAUACAUUUUUAAGAAUGUCAAAAUUAAAUUUUGAUGAUUUUUUAUUAGAUAAAAUUAUUAAUUUUGAUAUUGUAAUCGAGAUUAAAAAUUACAAUUUAAAACAAUCACAAUUGCAAUCACAAAAUUCCUAUAAUUUUGGAAUUGAAAACAAAUUCAGCACACAAUCGAAACUUUAAUCACGACUAUAUCAUAUUUGACAUGACAUUUGUGAUCAAAUGCGUACUUCAAACCGUAAUAAUAAAAAAGCUCCAAAUAAUAGAGUUCAAUUCCACGAUUUUCAUGAAGAAAAAACUGUGCCCUUUAUAUGCCAUUUCUUAUUUGUUAAACAAAAACUGUGCGAAUCAGCUUCCUCAAGCAAAUUAAAGGACAUCAAAUUCUUUUCUGAACAUCAUAGAUUAUGCGAUAUUACAAGACAUUUAGUGUUCUAUAACUUGUUCAAGUUAGUUUGUUUACUUUAAAUUGUUCGAAUCAUUCCCUUUACUCAAAGCGAGCAAUUGCAGCGGGCGUGAGUCAGGUGUAAGUUCGAAUCAUUCCCUUUACUCAAAGCGAGCAGUUGCAGCGGGCGUGAGUCAUGUGUGAUACAAAGGGGGUGUAUUAUGUAAUUAAGCAAGAUGGUCACUAAGGCUGAACAUAAGUCUCCUGCAUGUGUAAUUAGAGACUUAAUUCAGCAUCAUAUGUUCCCGAAGCUUUGCUAUGUUAAUGAAACAUUUUUCAUGCUUUUCAAAAAAAAAAAAGUGAACAAUUCCAACCAAUAAAGAGCUGAUAUAAUAAAGUAUGAAAAGAUUGUAAGUCUCUAGAAAUAAACCUUCAGUUAGAGAUAAGAAUCCAUGACAUUCAUGAUUGGGACCACGGCUAAUUUAUGCUCUAUGGCAGUACUAUCCAUCUCAAACAAAAGAAAAAAUCUUGUUAAACUUUAUUGAAAAUUAAUUUAUACUAAUUCAAGAUUUAAUAUAAUAGGAAAUUAACACAAAAAUGUACCUGAUUCUUAAUACAUGAUUUCAUAGUGAAAAUGAAACUGACUAGAUUAACUAUUGGGUUUCAAUACAUUAGGAUCUUCUUCCUUCCUCCUCAAUCUAUUAACGUUAUAAUAGGGGAAAAUCUUAAUGUUUUUGUGUAGGGGGGGGGGGGGGUGGGGGAACUUUUUAUAUUUGAAUCCCUAUUCCUAUUCAUUAUUAUAAGAUUAUAGAUCACUUCUUUUCAAAAAAAAAAUAAAGGGUUUCUGAAGCAUGAAAUUAGAUUCAAAUGUUGAAUUGAUGAAAACUUGACGAGGAGAUGGCAACAAGACAAUGAUAUGUUGAAGAGAACAAGAACAUUGGAGUCCUCACCAAUGUCCAAAGUUAAAGCAAUGCUUAAUUAAUUUCUGAAGCUUUCAUUUCAAUCUAUUUCUCUUGGUGAUAAAACUCAAUCUGAGGAAAGGAAAGAUAGAUGGGGAGAUAGAAUCUCAGUCACGUUUUACACGCCAUUGUACAAUAGACGCAAAUUCAUGAGGGUCUUAACUAAGAAUGAAGAAAAGCACCUUAAUGCGUGACUGACAAAUAUCAACCAUUUCCAUGGCCAACGCUUUUAAAUAGGGAACCAUUCUCCUCUUUCUUUCUCACUCCCUGUCUACCACUUUAAACUCGAGCUAAACCCUUCCAAACUUUCCGGUUUUAUACCAUUAUCAUGACUGUAGAGAGUUCUAGCAUCACAAUUGGUCGUCCUUCCUCAAUGCAGGAGAGGGUGAGGAAUGCUGCUAAUGAAGGUGUUAUUGAGGCGUUGUAUGAGCUUAUUCGGGAGAAGGCAGAUUUCUUGAGGGACAUCGAUCAAAUGGAGUUUGUUGAUACUCCAUUACACGUAGCUGCAGCUGCAGGACGCACUGAGUUUGCAUUGGAGUUGUUGGACUUAAAGCCAUCACUUGCUACGAAGCUGAACCAGGACGGUUUGAGCCCCAUUCACCUUGCGUUGCAGAAUGAGCAUGCAGAGACGGUGCUCUCACUCCUGAGAUUCGAUAAGAAUCUCGUUCGUGUCAAAGGGAAGAACGGCUACACUCCUUUCCAUUACGCAGUAAUGAACGGAGACCGUCCUGUUUUGAAUGAAUUUCUCAAGGAUUGCCCUCAAUGUAUCCAUGAUGCGACAAAUCGAAAUGAAACUGGCCUGCAUGUUGCAGUGCAGAACAACAGCUUCGAAGCUUUUCAAGUUCUAAUGCUCUGGCUUUGGAGAUCUGAUUGUUCUGUGAGGGAGAUUAAAAGAAUUCUGAACUUCAAGAACAGGGAUGGCGACACUGCGUUGCACAUAGCAGCAUCCAAAAACCAACCAAAGGUAUGAAUUUGAUCUCACCCAGUCUUUCUUUUUUUAAGUUGUAUUUAACUGUUACGAAUUUACGAUCGUUUGUUAAAAUGUAUGUUACUUUAUUUUUCAAUGCAUGCAGAUUGUCAGGUUAUUAACUGAGUAUGGGAUACUGAACAUGAAAGCUACCAAUUCGAAGAAUUUAACAGGCCAAAAUCAACACGACAGAGGAAAGAGCAAGGAAAUUCUACUUUCUGCUUACCGUGCCAUUUUCGUCGGAGCAAUUGCUCUUAUUCAACUAAUUAGUGACCUUAAAUAUAACAUUAAAACCAUGUCAGGUGACAACAACAAUGCUGUGCUGGUAGUAACAGUACUUAUUCUAACAGCCACUUACCAAGCCGCCCUAAGCCCCCCCGGAGGUGUUUUUUAGGCUAACUCUGAACCCAAAAACACCACCGCCCACUUGCAAAUCCCCCAUAGUUUCCACAACAUAACUAGUUCCAUAACGAACAAAAUAUUCAAAAAGCAACCCUCUGCUGCGGGAUCAUCCGUACUGAAUACAGCACCUUUUCUUUUCUUCUUUAUUCCAAACAUUAUGGCUUUCGGUAUUUCUUUCCUUCUAACAUGUGCCAUCCUUAUCAGUAUCCUUCCUGUUGUCUUAUCAACUGCUCUCGUCCUAUCCCUGUCAAUGCUAGUUGUUUGCCUUCUAAUAUCUUCAGUGCGUAUCAUAUCGCCAAAUUCACUGUCCGUCGUUGUUAUGUAUGAAACUGUCGACCUCCUUGUCGGAUCACCUGUCCUGGUCAUGUUCCUGACAAUUUUACUACGACCAGUCAUAAGCCGACUUUGGAGGAUGGCUUGGAAAGAAAAUUAAUUUGUGUUUAUGUUAGUGGUUUUGGGUGGCCUAUCUCUAUUGAUAUAUUGGAGUAUUUUAAGGUUAUUUAUUGGCUGUUCUUCCAAUACGUUAUAAACAUAUCCUUUAUGAUGGGUAAUUGUUCUGCAUAGGUGUAAUUGUGAUGGUUAAUGAAUGUUUUAUUCUUUAA